This is a long non-coding RNA of Suricata suricatta (meerkat), 1253 nucleotides long. RefSeq lists it as uncharacterized. The transcript has 4 exons. NCBI's taxonomy places the organism in Eukaryota, Metazoa, Chordata, Mammalia, Carnivora, Herpestidae. The record is from RefSeq and is a predicted model, not a curated record.
CAGCAGGCCUGGUCAAGAGCGUGGAUCUUACUCUCAGUGUGACUGGAAGGCGCUGGAGAGUCAAAAGCAGGGGGCAAGGUUCCCGAUCUGAUCUUUCUUCUGCUGGAGCCCAGACCACAGGGGCAUGAGGGGGCAGGGAGCCAGGGGAGGCCGUGAGGGGACCCAGGAGCCAGAUCCUGCUGCUGCACCGGGAAGGUCAGAACCGAGGCUGCCAGAAGUGGAUGGAUUCAGGACACGCUUGAAGGCUGGUUUUCCUCGAAGCAUGAGUUACAAAGGGACUCUUCCCUUAGGGGAUCUCGAGAGAGAAGUUGAGAAAACAGCAAAAUGCCAAGAGUCCAAAGGGCAGGUUGGCAACCCCCGGCUGACUCUGAGGGCUCCCAGGAGGCAGAAAGGGAAACUGAGGCAGCAAGUGCUAAUGGGAGGCUGCUAAGAAGGUACUGGUUGGAAUAGCCUGGGGGCCGUGAGGCCAGGAGCCAGAAUGAGGAGGAAGGAUGGGGCCGGCAGCUCUGUGCAUCGGGGGAGAAAGAAGAUGGUGCCUGGUCUGGACCUGGAACUGCAGAGGGAAGGGGUCAAGGGCUGUGAGGCCCAGGCCCUGGUCCUCCUGCCCUCCUGGCCACCCCGGACCUCUGACCCUGAGGGUUUGGCUUUGAGAAGCUUAGCCCUGGCCCUGCUGAGCACCCACCACCGGUGCCCAGAGGAGCAGGCAGGUCUAGGUGCCCCUUCCCUGGCCCUCGUCCUCCCCACCCUCUGCCCCAGCCCUGAGACAGAAGCCACCUUUUGCCCAGAGAUGAGGCCGGCACUGCCCGGCCAGACCCACCUGGUGUGCCCUCAGCGCUGGUCCAGGAUGAGGGGCACCUGGGCGCUGUCCACCUGGGGCGGCAGCCGCUCACCCGUGCGCACGUUGAACAUGGGCAGGGUGGAAAGUGGCCGGGGCACGUCACGGCUGGAGGCCAUCUGCCGGAGCUCCUCCGUGUUCCCGCGGAUCGUGCAGUGGUGGACCAUCUGGAUGCUGGGGGCGCAAGGCCGGCAGAGUCAUCAGCUCUAGGACCCAGCCCCGCCUGCCACUGCCUCUGAGUCACCCUGCCAUCUUCCUUACCCGGAUGUAGGGGGAAACUCACACACAUGACGGGUAAAGGGAGGACAAACAAUGAAGGUCUUUGGUGACAGCUCGGUGUCCAGUAAUGGAGGCAGAGGCUGUGGGUGCAGACAAGCCUGGGUUCAAAGCUGUGUGUCCCUGGCAAGUUGCUUAACCA